This 379-nucleotide long non-coding RNA is filed under the name Carica papaya (papaya). Its description in RNAcentral is "long non-coding RNA (CPAP_LNC004038)". Lineage: Eukaryota; Viridiplantae; Streptophyta; Magnoliopsida; Brassicales; Caricaceae. The record is from RNAcentral.
UUACUCUCUAUUUUUUUAAUAGACCAAGAUAUCAUCGAUAAACAUAACGGUGAACUGAUACAUAAAUUAUCUGAAAACCCUUUUCAUCAAGUUUUCAAACAUGACAAAACCCUAAUUUUUGAUCCUUUUCUCUUAAUCUCAAAAAAAUUUGUAAAUUACCAUAUUUAGUUUCUUUUGUGGCAUAAAAUCUUAUUCCAUCAUAUUCUUGUCCCCAUCAAUAACAUUAGUGUCCCAUUAAUGAUAGAAUUAGAAGAUAAUAAGAACCAAAUUAAGCUAAUAAUAUACAAUUAACCCUUUUUUUUACAAGCCCAAAAUUUUUCCAUCAAAGCCCAAAGUUAUAUAUUAAAGAGGGAAAAGAAAACUACCAAAAAAGGCAAAG